Molecule: ribosomal RNA, 451 nt
Filed under: uncultured bacterium
Lineage: Bacteria
Description: partial 16S ribosomal RNA
Rfam family: Bacterial small subunit ribosomal RNA
Source: RNAcentral
AGCGAACGCUGGCGGCAUGCCUAACACAUGCAAGUCGCACGGGGGGGCUUCGGCCUCCUAGUGGCGGACGGGUGAGGAACGCGUAGGGACCUGUCGAGGGGUGGGGGAUAACCGCGGGAAACUGCGGCUAAUACCGCAUGACGCCGCGGCGUGACAGCCGGGGCCAAAGGCGAAAGCCGCCCGCCGAGGGGCCUGCGUCCGAUUAGCUGGUUGGCGGGGUAGCGGCCCACCAAGGCGUCGAUCGGUAGCUGGUCUGAGAGGGUGAUCAGCCACACCGGGACUGAGACACGGCCCGGACUCCUACGGGAGGCAGCAGUGGGGAAUAUUGGACAAUGGGCGCAAGCCUGAUCCAGCAAUGCCGCGUGGGUGAAGAAGGUCUUCGGAUUGUAAAGCCCUUUCGGCGGGGACGAUGGUGACGGUACCCGCAGAAGAAGCCCCGGCUAACUUCGUG